GACGAACGCUGGCGGCGUGCCUAAUACAUGCAGGUAGAACGCUGAAGGAGGAGCUUGCUUCUCUGGAUGAGUUGCGAACGGGUGAGUAACGCGUAGGUAACCUGCCUGGUAGCGGGGGAUAACUAUUGGAAACGAUAGCUAAUACCGCAUAAUAUUGACUAUUGCAUGAUAGUCAGUUGAAAGGUGCAACUGCACCACUACCAGAUGGACCUGCGUUGUAUUAGCUAGUUGGUGGGGUAACGGCUCACCAAGGCGACGAUACAUAGCCGACCUGAGAGGGUGAUCGGCCACACUGGGACUGAGACACGGCCCAGACUCCUACGGGAGGCAGCAGUAGGGAAUCUUCGGCAAUGGACGGAAGUCUGACCGAGCAACGCCGCGUGAGUGAAGAAGGUUUUCGGAUCGUAAAGCUCUGUUGUAAGAGAAGAACGAGUGUGAGAGUGGAAAGCUCACACUGUGACGGUAUCUUAACAGAAAGGGACGGCUAACUACGUG
Molecule: ribosomal RNA, 495 nt
Filed under: uncultured bacterium
Lineage: Bacteria
Description: partial 16S ribosomal RNA
Rfam family: Bacterial small subunit ribosomal RNA
Source: RNAcentral